This 227-nucleotide non-coding RNA is filed under the name Lacticaseibacillus paracasei. The record is from RNAcentral. Lineage: Bacteria; Bacillati; Bacillota; Bacilli; Lactobacillales; Lactobacillaceae.
AACAACACUUUGAGAAGAAGAGUAACCUUGGCGCAGACGCUGUAGAAAGCCCGGUUGAUGGAAAAGGGUCAUCUGCAAGAAGGUGAAGAUGAGCUUCGAAUAGUUAUUCGUGCGGUUAACGUUCACGAGUCGGUUACGGCCGUUAUGCUGUCAGGUAUCAACAGGUACUGGAGACGAUGUAUCAACAUCGUGAAUAAGGGUGGUAACGCGACACUGUCGCCCCUUGA